RNAcentral lists this ribosomal RNA (253 nucleotides) under uncultured bacterium. RNAcentral describes it as "partial 16S ribosomal RNA". It matches the Rfam family "Bacterial small subunit ribosomal RNA", at positions 524 to 776 of the family's 1533-position model. The record is from RNAcentral.
GACGAACCGAGCGAACGUUGUUCGGAAUCACUGGGCUUAAAGGGUGCGUAGGCGGGCUGCCAAGUUUGGGGUGAAAUCCUCCGGCUCAACCGGGGAAGUGCCUUGAAUACUGGCGGUCUCGAGGGAGGUAGGGGCGUGCGGAACUAACGGUGGAGCGGUGAAAUGCGUUGAUAUCGUUAGGAACUCCGGUGGCGAAAGCGGCGUGCUGGACCUUUUCUGACGCUGAGGCGCGAAAGCUAGGGGAGCAAACGGG